Molecule: long non-coding RNA, 188 nt
Organism: Pipistrellus kuhlii (Kuhl's pipistrelle)
Lineage: Eukaryota; Metazoa; Chordata; Mammalia; Chiroptera; Vespertilionidae
Exons: 3
Source: RefSeq, a predicted model, not a curated record
GGAGGGGGGACUUCAAUGAUGGGGGUAGGGGGGUGGGGGGAGGGGGAGGUGCCAGAAAAAAUGGAAGACUUCGAGGUUUGGGGGGUGUGGACCCCCGCUACUGUCUCUCCCUCCCCCGACGGGGCCUCGAGGGGGCAGAGGCGGGCGCAGGUGUGGGGACGGCGCGGGGGUGCCCUCCCCCCAGCUCC